Molecule: long non-coding RNA, 341 nt
Filed under: Lathyrus oleraceus (garden pea)
Lineage: Eukaryota; Viridiplantae; Streptophyta; Magnoliopsida; Fabales; Fabaceae
Description: Pisum sativum (pea) long non-coding RNA (PSAT_LNC032040)
Source: RNAcentral
UUUUUCUUCUCUUGAACCCCGGUACUUCUUUGAUUGAUUUUUUUUGCUUUUUCUUGGACCCCGGACAAUUAUUUUCGCGCGUAUGAUCCCUGAUCACCGCAUUUGAACCCCGACAACUUCAUAACACUCCUGUUUGCCAAACAAUGAACCCCGAUCUCCAUUUGAACCCCAGUCGCCUGACGAUAACUCGCGAUCACCGUUGUGAACCCCAUUCUCCAGAAAACACCCCGUGUCUCCCUUUCUCCAUUUGAACCCCAUUCUCCACUUCCUUGUGAUAAUUCCGCUGGCAACGCCGGAAAUAACACCAAACACCACUCUGAUGGUGACAUAUUAGAGGGUAC